This 802-nucleotide ribosomal RNA is filed under the name uncultured bacterium. RNAcentral's name for it is "bacterial SSU rRNA". It matches the Rfam family "Bacterial small subunit ribosomal RNA", at positions 704 to 1504 of the family's 1533-position model. The record is from RNAcentral.
GAAUACCAGUGGCGAAGGCGCCUUGCUGGACAGUGCCUGACGCUGAGGCGCGAAGGCGUGGGGAGCAAACAGGAUUAGAUACCCUGGUAGUCCACGCGGUAAACGAUGAGUGCUAGGUGUCGGAGGGUACCACCUCCCGGUGCCGAAGGGAAACCCAAUAAGCACUCCGCCUGGGGAGUACGGUCGCAAGACUGAAACUCAAAGGAAUUGACGGGGGCCCGCACAAGCAGUGGAGCAUGUGGUUUAAUUCGAAGCAACGCGAAGAACCUUACCAGGACUUGACAUCCUCCUGACGGGAGUAGAGAUAUUCCGUCCCUUCGGGGCAGGGGAGACAGGUGGUGCAUGGUUGUCGUCAGCUCGUGUCGUGAGAUGUUGGGUUAAGUCCCGCAACGAGCGCAACCCUUGAUCAGUGUUACCAGCACGUAAAGGUGGGGACUCACUGAUGACUGCCGGUGAUAAACCGGAGGAAGGCGGGGAUGACGUCAAAUCAUCAUGCCCCUUAUGUCCUGGGCCACACACGUGCUACAAUGGGCGGUACAACGGGAAGCAAGAGAGCGAUCUGGAGCGAAACCCUAAAAGCCGUUCGUAGUUCGGAUUGCAGGCUGCAACCCGCCUGCAUGAAGCCGGAAUUGCUAGUAAUCGCGGAUCAGCAUGCCGCGGUGAAUCCGUUCCCGGGCCUUGUACACACCGCCCGUCACACCACGAGAGUGGAUCACACCCGAAGUCGGUGGGGUAACCGCAAGGAGCCAGCCGCCGAAGGUGGGAUUCGCGAUUGGGGUGAAGUCGUAACAAGGUAGCCGUA